Long non-coding RNA from Dreissena polymorpha, 1769 nucleotides. RefSeq lists it as uncharacterized. The transcript has 2 exons. Lineage: Eukaryota; Metazoa; Mollusca; Bivalvia; Myida; Dreissenidae. The record is from RefSeq and is a predicted model, not a curated record.
UUUAUGUAGUAUGUUAUUAUUAUUAUGAGGAUUAUGAUAUUUUUUAUUUCCGUUUUAAUGUUUAUCAUUAAUUUGGUAAAUAUUGUUUUAUUAUAUCUGUUUAAUUCUCUUGUGCAUUAUUCGAUUGGUCAUUUGACCGUUUGUGAAGGCCAGAGUGUGCCUGAUGUUGUUAGCCGUUUGGCUUGUGUGGUCAUUUGACCGUUUGUGAAGGCCAGAGUGUGCCUGAUGUUGAUUAGCCGUUUGGCUUGUGUGGUCAUUUGACCGUUUGUGAAGGCCAGAGUGUGCCUGAUGUUGAUAAGCCAGUUGGCUUGUGUGGUCAGUUGACCGUUGUUGAAGGCCAUAGUGUGCCUAUUUUGAUUGAAUUGAUUUUAUUGCUUUUACAAAUGUUUAUAAUUGUAUCUUUUCAGUUAAAACACAGUUCGAGAGGUAUAUAACGUGGUGGAGAAUAUUUAGUAUAUUUUCAGUUCGGUUUUUAGUCCAUGUGAGAUGGGAUCUUAACACGAACCGAUUUCUUUACUGGGAAAGACGAUGGGUGUAUUUUCAUUUGAGUCUGAAGCAGCUAAGUUUUCUUGAUUAUUUUGACUCAUUUUUUACAUAAUAUUGUGUUUGAAUGAGGUCUUUUAAGUUAUGGGUGUCAUGUUUUUCGAGACUCUCAAUUUCUGGAGAUAGUACCUCCAGCAUACUUAUUGAAAUAUUGGUAUGUUUAAAUGUCAGUGUUAUAAUUUUUUGUUGUCGUUCGUAAUGAACGUUUAAUUUUAAAGACAUUUUUAUUUUACGAUUACUUAAUAUUUUCAUUUUGGUGUGACUGGUUAGAUGUUGAAGUCGGAUUAAUAAAGCUGUUAAAUUCGUCAUAUGCAUUUAUAUAUUUCUCGGAAUAUUUAUGAUUUAUCAACAUUCUUUAUAGAUGCUUUAUGGAUUUUAUGGUUUGAGUGAUUUGUUUGUUUCUUGUUGAUGUCCGGGGUGUGUGCAGGAUGCUUUUGAUGUUUGUUUGUUAUGUUAACUUGCGCAAUGAAAUUGAUAAUGUUUUAAUUACAUUUUUUACUAUAAAAUACUUAAUGUUACAGUAUCUUAAUAGAUGCUUAUUUGUAGAUUUCUCUAAAUUAGAGGUUUUGGGAGGUGAUGAAGGCACCUAGACACCGGUCUCGAGCCAUGGGUCCUCAUACGUCCCCCUGCCAUUAAAAGAAAAAAUAAGAAAACAAAAAUGGCAGUAGGGUUGCGUAUCCCGCUCGCGGUUUACCUGAAUCGUUUAUUACUACUGAUUAUUGUAUGGGGUGUACGUGAAGUCAUGUACACUUCUCUUGAUUGGUGGUGGUAGAUGAAUCUUGCAGAUAUUAGCAGCUUCUUUGAACAAAUUAAUGUUUCACAUUUGUUUAUUUAUAAUAUUUAAGCAAGUUAGCGUGAUUGAUGGGCAUUGGGGGCGUCCUGUGUGCACUGUGGGCAUCGGCGGGGAUCAGUUUAUUCAAAUAGUAACUCUUUUUUGAGAUAUAUACUUGACGUCUAAUUGUUAUGAAUACAUUUGCACCUUUUCACAUGACACACAUACGUAGUAUUCAUAAUUACAUGCCCUACAGCAUUUAAAUAGUAUCGUUUCAGUUCUUUAUACACCUGAACAAAGAUGUUACACCGUUUCCAGUCGUCUCGAGAUUCCUCAACUGAGCGGUGCCGUUGAGGUCUAUAUCCAUUGCGCAUACAACAUAUACGGGCGUCAGAAGAAUUGUUUUUUGCAUUUAUUUGUUGAAAGUCCUGUCAAAUACAAGCACUCACUCCUA